Molecule: long non-coding RNA, 278 nt
Organism: Pleuronectes platessa (European plaice)
Lineage: Eukaryota; Metazoa; Chordata; Actinopteri; Pleuronectiformes; Pleuronectidae
Exons: 3
Source: RefSeq, a predicted model, not a curated record
GGGACAUUGUUUUUACCUUUUCAACAGUAAAAGCCACUGAGCAUGCUGCCUUGCUCAAGGACACACUGACAGAGUACUCUCAGAAACGGGAGUGCCCCCACACAGACACGUGGUGUGAGCUAAACUUUGAGGGGGAAUGCUGACACCGUUGUAUUCAACCGACCUGGGGCAGAAUGAUUGUUGGAGGCAACGAGGUGUAUCCGCUUACCCCUCCCUGGGACACGGUGUCGCUGCUGGGGGAUCAAUGUCCAUUGAGUACGGAGGAAGAGGGGGCAGGC